Paramuricea clavata is the source of this 349-nucleotide non-coding RNA. NCBI's taxonomy places the organism in Eukaryota, Metazoa, Cnidaria, Anthozoa, Malacalcyonacea, Plexauridae. The record is from the annotation of a GenBank genome assembly.
UUUUUAUUGAAGCAUUACGGAGGAAUUGUGCCUAAAUAAUUGUAUUCGGUCCGAAAAAAAUUGGUGACGGGGAGGGAGGUCGACACGAAUGUUGGAUCAUGACGCCCUUUCAUUUUCAUUGGUGCCCUUUUGUUAUGGAGUAUGCCCUUUUGUUAACCAAUUGCACCCCUUGCCCUCAGCAACUUCCGGCAUCCCUGAUCACCGUUCUAGCGCGCGUGUUUUAUACUGACAGCUAUAUUCCAGGAUAAAUUGCAACCACGAGGUUGGAUAAAUUGUUAUUUUUCAAACUUUAAAAGUUAUUCACGACACAUAUUUCUGUUGUGAUGGUUUGUAUUGUGCUUGUAUCUAA